Cynocephalus volans (Philippine flying lemur) is the source of this 2420-nucleotide long non-coding RNA. RefSeq lists it as uncharacterized. The transcript is spliced from 3 exons. NCBI's taxonomy places the organism in Eukaryota, Metazoa, Chordata, Mammalia, Dermoptera, Cynocephalidae. The record is from RefSeq and is a predicted model, not a curated record.
UACUCAUAAAAUUAUAGCUCUUCUCACCAUAAAUCCUUUCCAUAAAGUACUAUAUCAGUUCAUGACCUACAGAAGGGUUUAGUAAACACACCUUGGUAGGAGAGCCGAUGAUUGUUGGUAAAGGAGUUUUGAAGAACCAGUCAGAACUCCGUGGAGAGGAUCCUGUGUGCUUGGUGGGAGAGGUUCCGAGGCUGCCAGGCCGACUGGGCUGAGGAGAAGUGGAAAGAUCUGUGACAAAGCAGCCACCACACUCCUACUGGAGCUGGAAGCCUUGUGGUGAACAGGACCCAGCGCUGCUAUGUCCCAGUCCUCACAGACUGGAAUGAAUGUGGGUGUGUUUGCUGGAGCUCCAAGCAGAUACCUUGAAACCACAAAGAAGAGGCCGAGAGAACGGAAGACACUUAACUUCCUUGAGCCACAGAAACAAAGGCAACAACUGUUUAUCCUGACUUCUUUUGAUGCAAGAAAACCUUUUGAGUUCAAGCACACUACACUCAGGACCCUGCUGUUCAUAGCCAAGUGGAAUUCCUACAUGAUAAGCCAUUUAGUAUGCUUCUAUAUGCACUCUCUCUUUCAUUUAGGUAUUUCCAAUAAGUAUCUUUGAAAUACAACAAUUUAUGUUUUUAGUUUCUUUACAUCUGAUUCUUACAUUUAUCUGCAUCCUGAAACAGAAAAAAAAAAAAAAUACAACAAACAAAAAACUAAACCCUCUCCCACUCAAAACUAAAACUGGAGCUUCACCAGACUUCACUAGUCAGCUCUGGUGCCUGCGAGCCAGCACACUCACAGACCUGACGGCCUACGCUCCUUAAUGAUAGAACAACUAGCACAGCCAUCGAGCGUCAGACUGCGAAUGAACAAAUGCCAUCUUUCUACCAUUUCAAUUUAAAGAGGAAAUAGAAUAGCUGAAGCUCUCAGCCCCUGAUGAAGUACAUCAGGGAAUUUUUUAAAAAAUUUACACUUUGUCAAGUUCUAAUAUUUUUCCCGUACUUAUUAAUCUCAAGCUAGAUAAAGGAGUCCUAAGAAAUAAAAUUAACAACCUUAUAAUUUGAAGCAACCUUAUAAUUUGGCUUCUCUGAUGACUCUGGUUCCUCCUCCUACCAGCACCUCAGGAGACGAACAGCCAUGCCUGGUGUUCUGUAAACGCUGUCUCAGACAGUCUCUGGACAGGACCUGCAAGCAGGCUUGCUCAGAAUCUGGAAAGUCUUCUCUGGACAAAUUCCUUGAUCUCCAGCUAGCUAAGACCACUGCAGUCAUUUUUGUCUAGCUUUAUAUUAACAUCAAUAUUUAACUGUCACCUGAGUCUCUGAGCCCAAGGUGAGGAGAGGGAAAGCCUGUGCAUGUCCUGAGUCUCCAGCACAUCUUCCUCAACUCCACUAGGUCCUGCAGCUCAGAGGGUUCUCUGUGUUCUCUGUGAUCAUCUUUCACCCGCAUGGAACACUAGGAAGACUGAACAGUCUGACCACACAGCAGCACUAUCACAUCAUUCUACCCACCCCCACAAAGGCUGAGAGGAAAACACAAAUGCAAAAGGACAAAUGAAAGACUAGGUGAUGGCGUAACAACUUUUUCAAAUUUACAAUCUUUAUACCAAAAGAUCCUCAGUUGCCUCUUUGUCUUAGGAAGAACUCCAUGAGUAAAUCCUGAGAGGCUAACAAGUAAUCUGGAUAGCCAGGGAUACAGCUAGAAUGUAAUGCCUGGAGACAGAUGGGGGGAAGAGGGAAAGAUCUCUGCAUGAAAGAGUUCCCAUGAAGCUCAAUCCGCACCCAAAUGUUGAGCCAUAGCUGUAAGCUCAUAGCGCUGUAUAAAUGAAGGAGAAACAGGUAGGGAUAAGCUGUUAGUUACCCAGAGGCCAGAGCAGCAACAAAGAAAUAAGGGCCUAACCUGGCAUACAGGCCCACAGCUGCAGAUAGAAAGCUGGUGAAGGAUCCAUCGAGAAUGGGGUUAGUGUCUGUGGAGGGAGCUGUUAGAAGAGCAGGAAUCCACUCGGAGAUGACACGCCCUACUGCCUCAUGCGCUGUGUAUGCAGUCAGCCUCCAUCAAUGGCUGUAGGAACCACUCUUCAGAAUUCUGAUAUCAUAACUCCCACACCUGUCUACUUUUUGUCUGGGUGCACAAGGAAUGUACUGAAGACUAGCAUGUAGGUUAUAUAGGAACUAUUAUUAAGAAGUGUUUCUUUAGGUGAAAAUGUACUCAUCAGCAAAGGAAAGAAAAGUGAAGGGCAGCAAAUCAAAACAAGUGAAAACCUGUAAAUAUACAAUUCCCAUAUUUGAAUUACCGUAUUCUCAAUGAAAGGCAGCAAACAAGUUUGUACAAGAUCUGCUUAUCCCCCAUGGUUCCCAAAUUGUGCACCGAGGGACCCCAAGGUACCACUGUUACUCAAAGGGCACCCUGAAGUACAUUAAAUUUAUUUUUCAUUA